CGGGGAAUAUUGCACAAUGGGCGCAAGCCUGAUGCAGCCAUGCCGCGUGUAUGAAGAAGGCCUUCGGGUUGUAAAGUACUUUCAGCGGGGAGGAAGGGAGUAAAGUUAAUACCUUUGCUCAUUGACGUUACCCGCAGAAGAAGCACCGGCUAACUCCGUGCCAGCAGCCGCGGUAAUACGGAGGGUGCAAGCGUUAAUCGGAAUUACUGGGCGUAAAGCGCACGCAGGCGGUUUGUUAAGUCAGAUGUGAAAUCCCCGGGCUCAACCUGGGAACUGCAUCUGAUACUGGCAAGCUUGAGUCUCGUAGAGGGGGGUAGAAUUCCAGGUGUAGCGGUGAAAUGCGUAGAGAUCUGGAGGAAUACCGGUGGCGAAGGCGGCCCCCUGGACGAAGACUGACGCUCAGGUGCGAAAGCGUGGGGAGCAAACAGG
Molecule: ribosomal RNA, 429 nt
Filed under: Chloroflexota bacterium
Lineage: Bacteria; Bacillati; Chloroflexota
Description: Chloroflexi bacterium partial 16S ribosomal RNA
Rfam family: Bacterial small subunit ribosomal RNA
Source: RNAcentral